CCUGAGAGCUGAACGAGGAAGGACAGACAAUUAAUUCAGCGUCUCGCCAGGCAACUGCCUUCUUUCUCUAACAGGAGAUGUUGGUUGUACGUGUUGCAAGCAUUGUACUCUGGAGAAAGUGCCUUAUAAGCGAUUAAACACUGUUGUUGGGAACACUGUUUAAAAUGCUGCUCACACUUAAAGCCAGACCAGCAACCGGGACAGCAAUAUGUUACGAGUGUUUAGAGACUACAGCCAAACGUGAUGAACAAAACGGAGCGAUUUCUCCUACACAAAUAAUAUUUUGGGAGAAACUGAACAUUUGCUAUCUAACUGAGAGUCUCCUCAUUGAAAACAUCCGAAGUUCUUCAAAGGCCCUUAUGUCAGGCAUCAGACACAGAGGAUGUCUGGUCCUGCUCCUGAAAUCUGCUCCUGCAUUCAUCCCA
Molecule: long non-coding RNA, 425 nt
Organism: Oncorhynchus tshawytscha (Chinook salmon)
Lineage: Eukaryota; Metazoa; Chordata; Actinopteri; Salmoniformes; Salmonidae
Source: Ensembl